Molecule: non-coding RNA, 74 nt
Organism: Benincasa hispida (wax gourd)
Lineage: Eukaryota; Viridiplantae; Streptophyta; Magnoliopsida; Cucurbitales; Cucurbitaceae
Source: the annotation of a RefSeq genome assembly
UCCUCAGUAGCUCAGUGGUAGAGCGGUCGAUUGUUAACCGAUUAGUCGUAGGUUCUCGAAUCCUACUUGGGGAG